GACGAACGCUGGCGGCGUGCUUAACACAUGCAAGUCGAACGGAAAGGCCCCUUUGGGGGUACUCGAGUGGCGAACGGGUGAGUAACACGUGAGUAACCUUCCCUUGACUUCGGGAUAACUUCAGGAAACUGGGGCUAAUACCGGAUAGGAAUCCUUGCUGCAUGGUGUGGGUUGGAAAGCUUCGGCGGUUUUGGAUGGACUCGCGGCUUAUCAGCUUGUUGGUGGGGUAGUGGCUUACCAAGGCUUUGACGGGUAGCCGGCCUGAGAGGGCGACCGGCCACAUUGGGACUGAGAUACGGCCCAGACUCCUACGGGAGGCAGCAGUGGGGAAUAUUGCACAAUGGGCGGAAGCCUGAUGCAGCAACGCCGCGUGCGGGAUGACGGCCUUCGGGUUGUAAACCGCUUUCAGCAGGGGCGAAGCUUGUGGUGACGGUACCUGCAGAAGAAGCACCGGCUAACUACGUG
This 465-nucleotide ribosomal RNA is filed under the name uncultured bacterium. Its description in RNAcentral is "partial 16S ribosomal RNA". It matches the Rfam family "Bacterial small subunit ribosomal RNA", at positions 28 to 507 of the family's 1533-position model. The record is from RNAcentral.